This 253-nucleotide ribosomal RNA is filed under the name uncultured bacterium. Its description in RNAcentral is "partial 16S ribosomal RNA". It matches the Rfam family "Bacterial small subunit ribosomal RNA", at positions 524 to 776 of the family's 1533-position model. The record is from RNAcentral.
UACGGAGGGUGCAAGCGUUAUCCGGAUUCACUGGGUUUAAAGGGAGCGUAGGUGGCUUUGUAAGUCAGUGGUGAAAUGUCGCGGCUCAACCGCGAAACUGCCAUUGAUACCGCUUAGCUUGAAUCACGUCGAGGUUGAUGGAAUAUUACAUGUAGCGGUGAAAUGCUUAGAUAUGUAAUAGAACACCGAUUGCGAAGGCAGUUCACUAGGCGUGUAUUGACACUGAGGCUCGAAAGCGUGGGGAUCAAACAGG